AUUGAACGCUGGCGGCAUGCCUUACACAUGCAAGUCGAACGGCAGCACGGGAGCAAUCCUGGUGGCGAGUGGCGAACGGGUGAGUAAAGUAUCGGAACGUGCCCAGUCGUGGGGGAUAACGUAGCGAAAGUUACGCUAAUACCGCAUACGAUCUAUGGAUGAAAGCGGGGGAUCGCAAGACCUUGCGCGAUUGGAGCGGCCGAUAUCAGAUUAGGUAGUUGGUGGGGUAAAGGCUCACCAAGCCGACGAUCUGUAGCUGGUCUGAGAGGACGACCAGCCACACUGUGACUGAGACACGGCCCAGACUCCUACGGGAGGCAGCAGUGGGGAAUUUUGGACAAUGGGCGCAAGCCUGAUCCAGCCAUGCCGCGUGCAGGAUGAGGGCCUUCGGGUUGUAAACUGCUUUUGUACGGAACGAAAAGGUUUGACUUAAUACGUUGGACUCAUGACGGUACCGUAAGAAUAAGCACCGGCUAACUACGUGCCAGCAGCCGCCGUAA
RNAcentral lists this ribosomal RNA (500 nucleotides) under uncultured bacterium. RNAcentral describes it as "partial 16S ribosomal RNA". It matches the Rfam family "Bacterial small subunit ribosomal RNA", at positions 30 to 523 of the family's 1533-position model. The record is from RNAcentral.